GUGUCAGCAGCCGCGGUAAUACGGAGGGUGCAAGCGUUAUCCGGAUUCAUUGGGUUUAAAGGGUGCGUAGGCUGGGCGGUAAGUCAGUGGUGAAAUCCUGCAGCUUAACUGUAGAAUUGCCAUUGAUACUGCCGUCCUUGAGUGCGCUCGACGUGGGCGGAAUGUGCCGUGUAGCGGUGAAAUGCUUAGAUAUGGCACAGAACACCGAUAGUGAAGACAGCUCACGAGGGCGUUACUGACGCUGAGGCACGAAAGCGUGGGGAUCGAACAGGAUUAGAAACCCGAGUAGUCC
RNAcentral lists this ribosomal RNA (292 nucleotides) under uncultured bacterium. RNAcentral's name for it is "partial 16S ribosomal RNA". It matches the Rfam family "Bacterial small subunit ribosomal RNA", at positions 505 to 796 of the family's 1533-position model. The record is from RNAcentral.